Molecule: antisense RNA, 75 nt
Filed under: Streptomyces bingchenggensis BCW-1
Lineage: Bacteria; Bacillati; Actinomycetota; Actinomycetes; Kitasatosporales; Streptomycetaceae
Description: ASpks TB sRNA
Rfam family: ASpks TB sRNA
Source: Rfam by way of RNAcentral
CUUGAUCGAUCCCAGCAGCAGCGGCCGGUCGGGGGCGCGGUCCUGUCCGUAGGUGGCCAGUAGGGCCUGGGCCUC